ACGAACGCUGGCGGCGUGCUUAACACAUGCAAGUCGAACGGAAAGGACCUGCUUUUGUGGGGUGCUCGAGUGGCGAACGGGUGAGUAACACGUGAGUAACCUGCCCUUGACUUUGGGAUAACUUCAGGAAACUGGGGCUAAUACCGGAUAGGAGCUCCUGCUGCAUGGUGGGGGUUGGAAAGUUUCGGCGGUUGGGGAUGGACUCGCGGCUUAUCAGCUUGUUGGUGGGGUAGUGGCUUACCAAGGCUUUGACGGGUAGCCGGCCUGAGAGGGUGACCGGCCACAUUGGGACUGAGAUACGGCCCAGACUCCUACGGGAGGCAGCAGUGGGGAAUAUUGCACAAUGGGCGGAAGCCUGAUGCAGCAACGCCGCGUGCGGGAUGACGGCCUUCGGGUUGUAAACCGCUUUCGCCUGUGACGAAGCGUGAGUGACGGUAAUGGGUAAAGAAGCACCGGCUAACUACGUG
Molecule: ribosomal RNA, 467 nt
Filed under: uncultured bacterium
Lineage: Bacteria
Description: partial 16S ribosomal RNA
Rfam family: Bacterial small subunit ribosomal RNA
Source: RNAcentral